AGAUAUGAGAGCUUGCGCUUAAAUAGGCUUAAUGGUAUAGCUAAGGUUCUUGGAGUACUUGCUUCUGUUGGAGGUAUUUCAGGCUGGUAAGAUUCCAAGAACCCCGUUUUGUUGAGUAUUUCAGGCUGGCUACUCCAGAGUUGGAGUAUGGCCGUAUGAAUAUCGGAAGUCGACCGGCAAAGCGAAAGCCAAGUGGAGGUAUUGAGACACUCCGUGCAAUACCUUGGAUUUUUGCCUGGACACAAACAAGGUUUCAUCUUCCAGUGUGGCUAGGCUUUGGGGCAGCAUUUAAGCAUGUUAUUGACAAGGAUAUUAGAAAUCUUCAAAUGCUUCAAGAGAUGUAUAACUAAUGGCCUUUCUUUAGGGUCACUAUUGAUUUAGUGGAAAUGGUGUUUGCUAAGGGAGACCCUGGUAUUGCUGCUCUGUAUGACAGGCUCCUUGUUUCAGACGACCUAUGGUCAUUUGGGAGCUGUUGAGAACCAAAUUCGAAGAAACUAAGAAACUUCUUCUUCAGCAUUAGAUGUUUUGGAUGAGUAGAUAGAGGAACUUUUGUCAAUGAUGGUGAAGCUUGGGUAAGAGGGAACCCAAAUCAAGUUUGUGGACGAGUAACUCAAAUUGUAAGGAGCACGUCUGGUUACUUGUUGGAUAAAGGAUAUCCAUUGCUUAUGAGUGAGUUUGGAGUAUAUUUGAGAGGUACUAAUGUCAAUGACAACCGUUAUCCUAGCUGCUUUAUAGCUUAUGAGUGAGUUUCUUCUCCAGAUAUCGGUGGUGGCCAAGUCGUGAACGAUGAAGUUGCUCGUCAACUCGGCUUCGAGAAAAUAUCCGACGAAUUCAUUCCAGAAUGCAAAUCCAAAGCCGACUAAUAUUUAGAUUGGCUGUCGGGAUUCGGGUCACAUUUUGAUGUUUAGAUUCUUGUAAAUUGAGUGAUUUAUUCAACAGGGGACAUUGGAGAGUGGCAGCCUAAUGGAAGCAAGAAGAUUAUUGAUAGGAAGAAGAAUAUAUUCAAGCUUUCACAAGGAGAAUAUGUCGCAGUUGAAAACCUGGAGAAUAUUUUUAGCCAAGUUCCUUCUAUUGAAUCUGUAAGUCUUGAGAGUCUUUCCAAUAGUUUUAGCGUCCUAGCUUGUAGUGAGAUUAAUGCCCAUACAGAGUUGAAAAAAGAUAUUUGACUCAUAAUAAUAGAAUUGAUUAACUAA
Molecule: long non-coding RNA, 1193 nt
Organism: Vicia villosa (hairy vetch)
Lineage: Eukaryota; Viridiplantae; Streptophyta; Magnoliopsida; Fabales; Fabaceae
Exons: 4
Source: RefSeq, a predicted model, not a curated record